Molecule: long non-coding RNA, 643 nt
Filed under: Manacus vitellinus (golden-collared manakin)
Lineage: Eukaryota; Metazoa; Chordata; Aves; Passeriformes; Pipridae
Description: lncRNA (ENSMVIG00005014134.1)
Source: RNAcentral
GCAGAGUAAAAAUGUACUCCUACAAACAAGCCUUCCCUAUGGAGCCAAUGGGCAGAUGUGGCUUCCUUGGACUACGUUAACCUUAACAAGGACACAAGAAACCUGAUGAGAAGGGCCAGUGGAGAGCAUCAGGAGCAGCAUCCCUGGCAAGAGGAGGGAAAAAAAGUACUUGGGUCUGUGAAGAAAUAUUUGGAACAAGGAUAUCCUGCCAGUGAAAAGAAGUUCUACAAUUGGGAAAGGCAAAAAAACAGCCAGUGUAACCACAAUGCUGGAUUUCCUACGGAGAUAACCAUCAUUGAUGCACAAAGCUCCUGUGUUCCUUCAAUUAACAUACUGUAGGUGGAAGCCAAAAACACUGGAUAAUGGUAAGUUUCACUUUCUACAAAGUCAAAAGCUGUUUUAAUAGAAGCGUAGCUGCCUUUCUUUUCAGUUCCGCAAGAAAAUACUCUCUCAGCAGCUGACUGAACACCCACAUUGUUCAGAAGCCAGGCAGAGUGCUCCUUGUUCAGCUUGCUUGCAGUAUGUCAUAGCAUCAAACUUAGCAAGACCUGGUAUCCUGGGUAGGGAUAAUGCUCCAAGUCUUGGUAGUAAAUGGAUUUGCACUGAAUGUAUUGCCAGGAGGAUUUUCUCUGGGAAAGAGGGG